This 253-nucleotide ribosomal RNA is filed under the name uncultured bacterium. RNAcentral describes it as "partial 16S ribosomal RNA". It matches the Rfam family "Bacterial small subunit ribosomal RNA", at positions 524 to 776 of the family's 1533-position model. The record is from RNAcentral.
AACGUAGGUGGCAAGCGUUAUCCGGAUUUACUGGGCGUAAAGCGUGUGCAGGCGGGGGUACAAGUGGUGGAUGAAAUUUCCCAGCUUAACUGGGAAGGGUUAUGCCAGACUGUACUUCUGGAGUGCGAGAGAGGGGCGUGGAAUUCCGGGUGUAGUGGUGAAAUGCGUAGAGAUCCGGAAGAACACCGGUGGCGAAGGCGGCCUGCUGGGCAGUGGCUGACACUGAGGCGCGACAGCGUGGGGAGCAAACAGG